Molecule: transfer RNA, 542 nt
Filed under: uncultured Prochlorococcus sp.
Lineage: Bacteria; Bacillati; Cyanobacteriota; Cyanophyceae; Synechococcales; Prochlorococcaceae
Description: partial 16S-23S ribosomal RNA intergenic spacer
Rfam family: tRNA (bases 212-284)
Source: RNAcentral
CAGGGAGACAACAAAAUGUUUAAUAUUAUUAUUUUGUCACCUUAGGUCGAUCGGUAUCUCACGUUCUUAAUUUGUUAAGAAUUUCAUUUCCUAAGUUUUUCUAGGUCACACCCAUUAUUUUUCCUGGGCCAUUAGCUCAGGUGGUUAGAGCGCACCCCUGAUAAGGGUGAGGUCCCUGGUUCAAGUCCAGGAUGGCCCAUAUCUCUAUGUUGGGGGUAUAGCUCAGUUGGUAGAGCGCCUGCUUUGCAAGCAGGAUGUCAGCGGUUCGAGUCCGCUUACCUCCACUGAUUACCACCUCUUCCAUAACUGGUAGAAAGGAAAUGUUUUGAGUUGUGAUUAUUAUUCUGAACGAAUCUAGCUUCCUAAUGAAAUCAUUAAGAUGCUGGACUCAUUGAAUUAAUUUCAUUGUUUUCAGAGAACCUUGACAACUGCAUANAUUUUUUUAAAGACAAUAAGCAACUUUAAUGAUGCAGAUUUAUUAUUUGUGCGAAUGCAUUAAUAACAAUUCUAUUAAGCUGAUGCUUCAAUUUUUGAAGUUAUUU